CAGUCUCAGUUCGGAUUGAAGGCUGAAAUUCGCCUUCCAUGAAGCCGGAAUUGCUAGUAAUGGCAGGUCAGCAUACUGCCGUGAAUACGUUCCCGGGCCUUGUACACACCGCCCGUCACACCAUGAGAGUUAGGAAUACCCGAAGCCUGUGAGCUAACUUUAAUAGAGGCAGCAGUCGAAGGUAGAACUAAUGAUUGGGGUGAAGUCGUAACAAGGUAUC
RNAcentral lists this ribosomal RNA (220 nucleotides) under uncultured bacterium. RNAcentral describes it as "partial 16S ribosomal RNA". It matches the Rfam family "Bacterial small subunit ribosomal RNA", at positions 1283 to 1500 of the family's 1533-position model. The record is from RNAcentral.